RNAcentral lists this long non-coding RNA (1383 nucleotides) under Anser brachyrhynchus (Pink-footed goose). Its description in RNAcentral is "lncRNA (ENSABRG00000020351.1)". Lineage: Eukaryota; Metazoa; Chordata; Aves; Anseriformes; Anatidae. The record is from RNAcentral.
AGCCCGCAUUAUUUGCAGCCCCCUCAAGGUCCCAGAUAAAUGAUAGCCAUGCCUUCCCCUCUGCUCUAAUCAGCAGUCACCAAAGGCCAUGGCACUGAAAUACGUUGAGAGGAAAGUCAAACCUCACGGGGCUGGUUGUUAGGUGUCUGAACCACGAGCGGCAGGGGUGUAAAAGACGUGGCUAACCUGGGGAUAUUGCAGAGCAGGGCCCGGAGUUUUGAUGGUUGUGAUACCAGCUUUCAGAGUUGGGGGAGAUAGAGGUGACACAGGUAUUUUAAAGUUAAUAUGUGAUAAUCCUUUAAGACACAAAGGGGACACAGUUCGAGGCUCCUCUGGGAUCAUCUUUUGCAUGCAGGGGGGCUGUGUGGUGAACAAGUCAGAGCAUACAGCUGGGGUGGGUUCUCCAGCUUCAGCUCUGCCGGUGGAAAAAUGUUUUUCUUGUGCUGCGUAGUGGUGACUGUGGCAUUGCUUUCCCUGAGGCUCUUGUGGAGAAUUGGGGAAUUGCUUCUUUUUUGACCUUAAGAUAUUUCAGCGUCUUACAGCGUGAAUGCGCUCCUCUCACUUUCCCUGGUUUGUGCUCAUCAUCACCUUGUUUUUCCCCAGCAGGCCUGGUUCACUGUCGUGUGACUUCGGGGCUAAAAGGUAAAUUUCAAAAGUAUGGGGACUGAGAGCUUGAUAAAGCUUUGUGAUCCAAUCUGUUGGCGAAUGUAGCCACAGAGAGAAUUCGAUUUGCAUACAUUUCCUACCCUGAAUUCCUCCGGUGCUAUUAGGAGUCACCAUAGCUAACACAAUCUCUGAACUGUGGGGCUUAUGUGUGUGCAGAAGUACACCUAUUUGCCUUCUUGGAAAGAGAUUUACUGAAGCGUUUUUCAUGUUAUUGUCCACCCCUCCACCCCCCUUUCUCCCCAUCAGAGGAUUUCGUGCCGCCGUAGAGACUCUUUGAUCUGAGUUAAUUCUUUGAUGAAGCUCCACAAGACAAUGGAGGAGCUGAGCACGCUCUGGGGAGGACGCUUCCCUCUCAGAAGGAGUGGGACUCUGAUAGCUGGGCGAGGUGGUGUGGCCUCAGGGCAAAGAGCCCCUCCGCUGCUAUUUCAUGGCCGGACACCAAGCUGUCUGCGUGCAAGAGCAGGGCACAGGGUGAGAGGGAAGGGCUCUAGGCUUUCACAUACAAAUCAGAGUGGAUGCAGUCAUGGAUUCGAUUCCCGCCACAUCAGACUCCUCCUAGCUGAUCUUCGCCUUGGUGAAGCUUCCAGGAAACAAAGCUAUGUGCCGGCGCGUGAGUCGUGUGUGCUGCGGGAUCAGCUCCCGUGGGAAAGUUACCAAGCUGCGUCUUGUUGGCUGUGGUCGUUCCUCCUUCCCCUGCUUGUCUGGCUGCCCCGUUAA